UUUUGUGUACAUGCCUACAACAUAACGUUAAUGCAUCAGAUCCCAUUAGAACUCCGCAGUUAAGCAUGCUUGGGCUAGAGUAGUACUGGGAUGGGUGACCACCCAGGAAGUCCUAGUAUUUUACAUGCC
Picea glauca (white spruce) is the source of this 129-nucleotide non-coding RNA. The record is from Rfam. Lineage: Eukaryota; Viridiplantae; Streptophyta; Pinopsida; Pinales; Pinaceae.